CACGUAGGGGGCAAGCGUUGUCCGGAAUUAUUGGGCGUAAAGAGCUCGUAGGCGGCUCGGUAAGUCAGGUGUCAAAUCCUCAGGCUCAACCUGGGGCUCCACCUGAUACUGCUGUGGCUAGAGUCCGGUAGGGGAGCGUGGAAUUCCUGGUGUAGCGGUGAAAUGCGCAGAUAUCAGGAGGAACACCAGCGGCGAAGGCGGCGCUCUGGGCCGGAACUGACGCUGAGAUGCGAAAGCGUGGGGAGCAAACAGG
Molecule: ribosomal RNA, 253 nt
Filed under: uncultured bacterium
Lineage: Bacteria
Description: partial 16S ribosomal RNA
Rfam family: Bacterial small subunit ribosomal RNA
Source: RNAcentral